Molecule: transfer RNA, 74 nt
Filed under: Nitratireductor arenosus
Lineage: Bacteria; Pseudomonadati; Pseudomonadota; Alphaproteobacteria; Hyphomicrobiales; Phyllobacteriaceae
Description: Nitratireductor sp. CAU 1489 tRNA-Pro
Rfam family: tRNA
About the family: Transfer RNA (tRNA) molecules are approximately 80 nucleotides in length. Their secondary structure includes four short double-helical elements and three loops (D, anti-codon, and T loops).
Source: RNAcentral
CAGGGAGUAUCAGUUGGUAGCGUGCCGCACUUGGAAUGCGGAAGCCGCUGGUUUGAGUCCAGCCGCCCAGACCA